RNAcentral lists this ribosomal RNA (465 nucleotides) under Vreelandella stevensii. RNAcentral's name for it is "partial 16S ribosomal RNA". It matches the Rfam family "Bacterial small subunit ribosomal RNA", at positions 338 to 795 of the family's 1533-position model. Lineage: Bacteria; Pseudomonadati; Pseudomonadota; Gammaproteobacteria; Oceanospirillales; Halomonadaceae. The record is from RNAcentral.
CCUACGGGAGGCUGCAGUGGGGAAUAUUGGACAAUGGGGGGAACCCUGAUCCAGUCAUGCCGCGUGUGUGAAGAAGGCCCUCGGGUUGUAAAGCACUUUCAGUGAGGAAGAACGCCUGGUGGUUAAUACCCAUCAGGAAAGACAUCACUCACAGAAGAAGCACCGGCUAACUCCGUGCCAGCAGCCGCGGUAAUACGGAGGGUGCGAGCGUUAAUCGGAAUUACUGGGCGUAAAGCGCGCGUAGGUGGCUUGAUAAGCCGGUUGUGAAAGCCCCGGGCUCAACCUGGGAACGGCAUCCGGAACUGUCAAGCUAGAGUGCAGGAGAGGAAGGUAGAAUUCCCGGUGUAGCGGUGAAAUGCGUAGAGAUCGGGAGGAAUACCAGUGGCGAAGGCGGCCUUCUGGACUGACACUGACACUGAGGUGCGAAAGCGUGGGUAGCAAACAGGAUUAGAUACCCUAGUAGUC